GGGCCAAGAACAAUAGAAACUGCAUUGCUUAGUUCCAAUUCCAUUGUUCUUGGCCAUU
Molecule: microRNA precursor, 58 nt
Filed under: Oryctolagus cuniculus (rabbit)
Lineage: Eukaryota; Metazoa; Chordata; Mammalia; Lagomorpha; Leporidae
Description: microRNA ocu-mir-12095 precursor
Source: miRBase by way of RNAcentral